RNAcentral lists this unclassified non-coding RNA (488 nucleotides) under Penaeus japonicus. Its description in RNAcentral is "growth-regulating factor 3-like, transcript variant X1". The record is from RNAcentral. Lineage: Eukaryota; Metazoa; Arthropoda; Malacostraca; Decapoda; Penaeidae.
CAGCCAUAACUUUGUUUACGUUUAUCUGUCAAGUUAAGGUAAUUGGGAUGCUGCUCUACUAGGACGUUUCAGGUUAUCAUGGGCUGUGACUUGCCUUAGGACUACGCAUGCUUUUACUAGACUGAGCUCAUGUCGGCCCCCGGGGAAGGCAAGUCAGGGCAUGGCGGCGGCGGCGGCGGAGGAGGAGGCCUGGGGGGCCCCGGGGGGGACGGGCGGCUCCUCGUCACGGAGAUCCGACACCACAACUUCGACGCCAUCCGCUUCGCCUCCUACAGGACCGCCGCCAAGCUGCGCUUCGUCCAGAAGAAGACCAACAGUGAGUGCAGCGCUCUCUCUUUGGGGUCAGGAGGAGCACUGGUUGGGUUGCUGUCAUUCAGGUGGGACUGCUGGUGCCGUCAGCACUGGCAGUGUUCGUUUGAUCAUGCAGUGGUAUUGUUAACAUUAUUGUGAGUAUUACACGGGCGCUCACGCACACGCAACGCACAUAA